Molecule: long non-coding RNA, 2593 nt
Filed under: Piliocolobus tephrosceles (Ugandan red Colobus)
Lineage: Eukaryota; Metazoa; Chordata; Mammalia; Primates; Cercopithecidae
Description: lncRNA (ENSPTEG00000013465.1)
Source: RNAcentral
AUUACACAAGCAGAAGUAAUGACACAUGAAAAAACAGCAGACACACCCCAGACAAAUGUUAAUUACCUAAAACUAUAUGAAGAGGCAAAAAAGGAAAAUAAAGAAAUAGAAAAAAUUGCCCAAAAUUAUGAAACAAACUGUAAUAUCGCUGUAAAUGAAAAAAUAAAAAUCGAAGAGAAGUACAAUGAACUUAAAAGUGUUUUUGAUACAAUAACAAAAAAAUGUAAAACGUUAGAAGAAAAAUGUAGUGAGUAUGAAAAAGAAGUUAAUGAAAAAAAAAAAAUACAUGAUGUUAGUGAGGAAAAGUAUCAUGAAUUAAAAAAAGGUAUAGAUUACAAAGAUAUAUUAUUAAAAGAUAUGGAAAAUGAAAUGAAUGAAAAAAUAAGUAUGAUAAAAACAGAUGUACAUAACAAAGAGGAAACUAUAACAACAUUACAAUAUGAAAUAGAAGAAUUACAAAAAAAAUUAAAAAACUCAGAAGUUUGUUAUGUUCGUAAUGAAAAUAAACUACUUAACGAUUUAUCAAAAGAAAAAGAAAUAAAUGUAAAACAAAAAACACAAAUCAGUGAGUUAGAAAAUAAAUUAAUAUAUGCAUUAACAGAAUUAGAAGAAAAAAUACAUGAAAAUGAAAUAAUAAAAAAUAGUAACAAAGAGUUAAGUGUACUAUUAAAAGGUUUAAAAGUACAAGAAGAAAAAAACAAACAAACUAUGGAUAUGUUAAAAACCAAUCUACAAAAUAAUGAAAAAGAAAAUGUAACAAAAGAAGAAAAAAUAAAAGAACAAAAUUUAAAAAUAGAUAAAUUAUUAACAAAAAUAAGUAACAACGAAAAAAUGAUAGAAAUGUUAAAAAAUGUGAAAAUAAAAAUGGAAAAUGAAAAUUUAACAUUAAAAAAAAAUUUAUUAACCACUGAAGAAAGUUUAAAACAAAUUGAAAAAAAUAGUUAUGAUACAUAUGAAAUAAAAUCUUAUUUAGACACAGUUUUAGACAAAAAUAAAAUAUUUUUAAAUGAACUAGAAAAAGAAAGAAACGAAAAAAAAUUACUUGAAAGAAAUAUAGAAAAUUUAUCUAAUAAAAUAAACAUAUUAAACGUUAGAUUAAACACAUAUAAAAAAAAAUGUGAUUUUUUUGCUAACAUAAUAAAAAAUAAUGAAAAUCAGUUUAAUAUAUAUGAAAAUAAGUUAUUAAUGUUGGAACGUUAUUAUUAUAAGAAAAAUAAAAACGGUAGUAUUUUUUUAACAAAAGAUGAGCUAACAAAAAAAGAAAACACAUUGGUAGUAGAUAUAGAAACGGAGAACAGUAGUAGUAACACACAAGUUAAAGAAAAACAAAAUGGGAUAUCUUUACAAAUGUAUGAUAUUCCCCAUAUUUAUACACAAAAAGAAGAUAUAGAUAUAUAUAAAAAAAAUGUGUAUAAAAUACAAAAGUUAAUAAAAAUUGUAAAAGAAAAAAAUUUAUUAAUAAAUGAUAAAAAUUAUAAAUUAGAAGAAUAUAAAAUACUAAAUAAACAAUUAGAAAAUAGUUUAAAUGAUUAUAAAAACGAAAUAAAAUGUUUAAAUGAAAAUAUACAUAAUUUAGAAAAAAAAAUAGAAAUAAAAGAUAUAAAAAAUAUAAUAGUCCCACCAAAAAUUGUUUUAAAUAUACCCAAAUCGACUUCUUUUGAAAACAAUUUAAAAACUGAAUUAAAAGAAUUUAUAGGCAGUUCUUCUAUUUUUUUAGAAAACACAUUUAAAUAUAUAAAUGAAAAUCCAAUUAAAAAAAACCUUCAAUCAAAAACAUUCUUUUCCUCUACUCCAUCAGAAGAAAAUAAGCAAAUUGUUGAUUCGGGUCAUGAAGGUGUAACUGUCGGUACCUCUGCCACUGCCACCGCUACUACCACUACUACUGCCACUACUACUACCACUGCUAGUGAAGACAAACAAUCGUUGAAUAGUUCAUUCGAACAUUUAACAAAUUAUUACAAUAAAGACAUUGGAGAUGUCACAGAAUAUGCUAAAAACUUUAUAUAUAAUAAUAUGAACAUUUUACCAGGUUUUAAAAAUAUAGAACGUGGUAAAACGAGGCAAAAAACUGUACAACCAACUGAACAACAUACUGAACAAAUAACCCAGUUGUUAUCAAACGAAAAAAAAAAACGUUAUAAAACACAACCGAUUUUAAAAAAAACUGAAAAAUCAAACAUUCUAAAAUAUGAAAACCUUCCAAAAGAACAAGCACUAUUAAUUAAUAAUAACCCAAAUCAAACAAAUAAUUUAACAAAUACAAAAAUGGAAGAAACGGAUUUAAAAAAUGAUACUGUUACUGUUGCUGACAGUGGUGACAUACCCAAUAGUAACAAUAGCGGUAGUAGUAACAUAUAUUUAAGCCUUUUUAUGGGAAAAAAAAAAACCAACAAAACAAAAAAUAAUAAUAAUAAUGACAUUUUAAAUGUACAAAACUUGUCACAAUUUUAUACAAACACUGAAAAUAAAAUUAAAGACUUAUUUGAUAUAAAUAAGAAGAAGGAUUCUAACAAAUUAAAGCAAAAAGAAAAUUCAGUAAAUUACGGAGGUGUAUCAUCUUAUGCUACCACAGUUGGUACUGACUUAGUUGUUA